This is a long non-coding RNA of Mus caroli (Ryukyu mouse), 655 nucleotides long. RefSeq lists it as uncharacterized. NCBI's taxonomy places the organism in Eukaryota, Metazoa, Chordata, Mammalia, Rodentia, Muridae. The record is from RefSeq and is a predicted model, not a curated record.
GCUUCGCAGGAGACCAGCCCCAGGCGAGAUCCUGUCCUAAGCACUAGUCCGAAAGGCUGCGAUCGGCUAGAGAAACACAUUGGGCGCUGUAAUAGCGGGCCUAGGAGCUUAAUUAUCCAUUAAAUAAUGAGUGAACUACUAAUUUUUUUUGCUGCGAACUUUUCACGCUCAUCUCUUGGCCCCUCCCUAAAUCACUUGGAAACAGGUGUGUGUGUCGAUGGGACUAGGUUAAACUUCUUUGACCUAACUUGCUCCAUCUUGAAGUCUGUCCUCCAUUUUGCAUGGCCCCAAUUCCAAGAAAAACCACAAAUGUUCUAAGACUAGAGUCUACCACUCAGGGAAGGGGAGGAACAUCUGGCCUUUUCUCCAAGAUCCUGAAACAGUUGCCACCUUCUUUCCCUGGGAUACCCAGGGGCCACCACAGACCAGUCAGGAGCCAGGACCUCUGGAAAGCCCCCUACCCACAACCAACCAUGGUAAAGGUUGCCUAGACCCUCACCCUAAUCUUCCAUUUCAUACCUGGUUGUGGUUUUCUGCUUUAAAAGGCCUAUGAGCCCACUUCUUGAGCUCAUUGCUUCAGCUCCCGAGCCUGACUGCAUCUCUAGUCCAGCUUGUUUCCCUUGGUGAAUAAAAGCUGCUUUUGUUUGACUUUGGA